RNAcentral lists this small nuclear RNA (154 nucleotides) under Castor canadensis (American beaver). Its description in RNAcentral is "U1 spliceosomal RNA (ENSCCNG00000030948.1)". It matches the Rfam family "U1 spliceosomal RNA". From Rfam's summary of the family: U1 is a small nuclear RNA (snRNA) component of the spliceosome (involved in pre-mRNA splicing). Its 5' end forms complementary base pairs with the 5' splice junction, thus defining the 5' donor site of an intron. Lineage: Eukaryota; Metazoa; Chordata; Mammalia; Rodentia; Castoridae. The record is from RNAcentral.
CCCUCUAUCCGGUAGGGGAGAUACCAUGGUCACAAAGGUGGUUUUCCCAGAGCGAGGCUUAUCCAUUGCACUCCAGAUGUGCUUACCCCUGCAAUUUCCCCAAAUGUGGAAAACUCAACUGCAAAAUUUGUGGUAGUGGGAGACUACAAACCUA